UACGUAGGGACCAAGCGUUGUUCGGAUUUACUGGGCGUAAAGGGCGCGUAGGCGGCCGAUCAAGUCGGGGGUGAAAGCCUGUGGCUCAACCACAGAAUGGCCUUCGAUACUGUUUGGCUUGAGACCGGAAGAGGUCAGUGGAACUGCGAGUGUAGAGGUGAAAUUCGUAGAUAUUCGCAAGAACACCAGUGGCGAAGGCGGGUCUCUGGGCCGAUACUGACGCUGAGGAGCGAAAGCGUGGGGAGCGAACAGG
RNAcentral lists this ribosomal RNA (253 nucleotides) under uncultured bacterium. RNAcentral's name for it is "partial 16S ribosomal RNA". It matches the Rfam family "Bacterial small subunit ribosomal RNA", at positions 524 to 776 of the family's 1533-position model. The record is from RNAcentral.